AGCAGCCGCGGUAAUUCCAGCUCCAAUAGCGUAUAUUAAAGUUGUUGCAGUUAAAAAGCUCGUAGUUGAAUUUCGGGGUCAGUAGGCUGGUCGUGCCACAGGUAUGUACUGGUCUUACUGAUUCCUCCUUCCUGAUGAACCGUAAUGCCAUUAAUUUGGUGUUGCGGGGAAUCUGGACUGUUACUUUGAAAAAAUUAGAGUGUUUAAAGCAGGCUAACGCUUGAAUACAUUAGCAUGGAAUAAUGAAAUAGGACGAUCGAUCCUAUUUUGUUGGUUUCUAGGAUUGACGUAAUGAUUAAUAGGGAUAGUUGGGGGCAUUAGUAUUCAAUUGUCAGAGGUGAAAUUCUUGGAUUUAUUGAAGACUAACUACUGCGAAAGCAUUUGCCAAGGAUGUUUUCAUUAAUCAAGAACGAAAGUUAGGGGAUCGAAGACGAUCAGAUACCGUCGUAGUCUUAACCAUAAACUAUGCCGACUAGGGAUCGGAUGAUGUUAAUUUUUUAAUGUACUCAUUCGGCGUACC
RNAcentral lists this ribosomal RNA (520 nucleotides) under uncultured Glomus. RNAcentral describes it as "SSU rRNA". It matches the Rfam family "Eukaryotic small subunit ribosomal RNA", at positions 569 to 1087 of the family's 1831-position model. The record is from RNAcentral. Lineage: Eukaryota; Fungi; Glomeromycota; Glomeromycetes; Glomerales; Glomeraceae.